UACAGAGGGUGCAAGCGUUGUUCGGAAUUACUGGGCGUAAAGCGCACGUAGGCGGAUAUUUAAGUCAGGGGUGAAAUCCCAGAGCUCAACUCUGGAACUGCCUUUGAUACUGGGUAUCUUGAGUAUGGAAGAGGUAAGUGGAAUUGCGAGUGUAGAGGUGAAAUUCGUAGAUAUUCGCAGGAACACCAGUGGCGAAGGCGGACUUGACCUGGUCCAUAA
Molecule: ribosomal RNA, 219 nt
Filed under: uncultured bacterium
Lineage: Bacteria
Description: partial 16S ribosomal RNA
Rfam family: Bacterial small subunit ribosomal RNA
Source: RNAcentral